RNAcentral lists this ribosomal RNA (274 nucleotides) under uncultured bacterium. Its description in RNAcentral is "partial 16S ribosomal RNA". It matches the Rfam family "Bacterial small subunit ribosomal RNA", at positions 523 to 796 of the family's 1533-position model. The record is from RNAcentral.
AUACGGAGGGUCCGAGCGUUAAUGGGAAUUACUGGGCGUAAAGCGCGCGUAGGCGGCUUUGUAAGUCGGAUGUGAAAGCCCUGGGCUCAACCUGGGAAUGGCAUUCGAUACUGCAGAGCUAGAGUAUGGUAGAGGGAAGUGGAAUUUCCGGUGUAGCGGUGAAAUGCGUAGAUAUCGGAAGGAACACCAGUGGCGAAGGCGGCUUCCUGGCCCAAUACUGACGCUCAGGUGCGAAAGCGUGGGUAGCGAACAGGAUUAGAAACCCCAGUAGUCC